GAGAUGCUUUGGUGGCCUUCGGGAACUCUGAGACAGGUGCUGCAUGGCUGUCGUCAGCUCGUGUUGUGAAAUGUUGGGUUAAGUCCCGCAACGAGCGCAACCCUUAUCCUUUGUUGCCAGCGGCUCGGCCGGGAACUCAAAGGAGACUGCCGGUGAUAAACCGGAGGAAGGUGGGGAUGACGUCAAGUCAUCAUGGCCCUUACGGCCAGGGCUACACACGUGCUACAAUGGCGCAUACAAGAGAAGCGACCUCGCGAGAGCAAGCGGACCUCACAAAGUGCGUCGUAGUCCGGAUUGGAGUCUGCAACUCGACUCCAUGAAGUCGGAAUCGCUAGUAAUCGUAGAUCAGAAUGCUACGGUGAAUACGUUCCCGGGCCUUGUACACACCGCCCGUCACACCAUGGGAGUGGGUUGCAAAAGAAGUAGGUAGCUUAACCUUCGGGAGGGCGCUUACCACUUUGUGAUUCAUGACUGGGGUGAAGUCGUAACAAGGUAAGCGUAGCGAG
Molecule: ribosomal RNA, 506 nt
Filed under: uncultured bacterium
Lineage: Bacteria
Description: bacterial SSU rRNA
Rfam family: Bacterial small subunit ribosomal RNA
Source: RNAcentral